Molecule: non-coding RNA, 234 nt
Organism: Pelobates cultripes (western spadefoot toad)
Lineage: Eukaryota; Metazoa; Chordata; Amphibia; Anura; Pelobatidae
Source: the annotation of a GenBank genome assembly
AGUGCAGGGUGUGUAUAGUGAAUGCAGAGUGUGUAUAAUGAAUGCAGUGUGUUUUUAGUGAGUGCAGAGUGUGUACAAUGAAUGCAGUGUAUGUAGUGUGUUUGUAGUGAAUGCAGAGUGUGUAUAGUGAAUGUAGUGUGUAGUGAGUGCAGAAUGUGCAUAAUAAAUGCAGAGUGUGUAUAGUGAAUGCAGAGGGUGUAUAGUGAAUGUAGUGUGUUUGUAGUGAGUGAAGAG